Taeniopygia guttata (zebra finch) is the source of this 777-nucleotide non-coding RNA. The record is from RefSeq and is a predicted model, not a curated record. NCBI's taxonomy places the organism in Eukaryota, Metazoa, Chordata, Aves, Passeriformes, Estrildidae.
CCCGGCGGGCAGGACCGAGCGCGGCCGCCCGGCGACGCCUCGGCACUAAAUGGCGACGGCGGGAGCCCGAACCGACACACGGUCCGGGGGGGAGGAGGGGCCGCGCCGCCGGCCACGCCCCGGCCGAGAGCGCGUAGUCCUCUACACCCCCCUCCCCGCCGAGGGGAGGUGGCCGCUCCCGCCGCGCGCGGUGCACCAUGGGAGCGGUAGUUUCCAGCGGCCGAGCAGCGGCAGGGGAGCCGCCCGUGGAUUCCCCCGGGAUGGGAGGAAGGAAGGGAGCGAGGAACGGAGGAGAGCAGGAGAGAGGAGGGAGCGACGAAGGAGGAUCCCGGCGUGCGCCGGGGGCCGAUGUGCUGUGGGGAAACUCGUCCUGCGCGGCCGCCCCUUCCUCCCCUCGCCCGGCACGUGAAAAGGCACCAGGUCUGCUUGCACUGCUCCUUUCUUCAAGUCUUGUGUUACGCCCACACAUUAAAUAUUUCGGAUAAUAAACGAAAACCAAGCACUUUCCUUCUUACGCCAGCAAUCUUUUGAAGUCAACUGGAAUGUACUGAAGGAGUAAAUGAUUUUGUGCCAUGACUUUCAGGCAGCUACAGAGCAAAAAUUACAUUGAGGAAGAAAAAGAAAACUAAGAAAAUUCCCUGAUUUUGCUUUCUCCAUUAAAUUUCAUCCAUUGUUGGCAUCCAUGACCUCUCCAUGUGACAAAGUCUUAAUGGGAAGUAGCUAUUCUCUAUUUUCUCUUAUGCAAUACAUUAUGCAAUACAGGAGGCUAUGCCAUAA